GGGUGUGAGAGUGAUCUGGCUGUGGCAUCUGAUGCCCCCUCUGUGGUGAGGGCUCAUCUGGGGGCUAGGCAGGUGACUCCUUCCUCCUCCACCCCCGACGCCCCACUUGCGGAGACAAGCUGUGCGCUGUGUGGCAGCGGAGGACCUGCCUCGACAGAGGGGGGCUGCUCGGGGUCAAGGGUGCAGAAGUGGUGGGUGCUCUGCUGAAGCCUCUCAAGGAGCUCUCCAGAAACCAGAGAGAGAUCCGUGGCCCUGCGCUGGGCUCCCCCAACGGGAUCGUUUUUUGCCAAACCGC
RNAcentral lists this small nuclear RNA (295 nucleotides) under Marmota monax (woodchuck). RNAcentral's name for it is "7SK RNA". It matches the Rfam family "7SK RNA". From Rfam's summary of the family: 7SK was discovered as an abundant small nuclear RNA in the mid-70s but a possible function has only recently been suggested. Two independent studies have found that 7SK RNA binds the CDK9/cyclin T complex (known as elongation factor P-TEFb). P-TEFb activates transcription by phosphorylating the C-terminal domain of RNA polymerase II. Lineage: Eukaryota; Metazoa; Chordata; Mammalia; Rodentia; Sciuridae. The record is from Rfam by way of RNAcentral.